GAUGAACGCUGGCGGCGUGCCUAAUACAUGCAAGUCGAGCGAACGGACGAGAAGCUUGCUUCUCUGAUGUUAGCGGCGGACGGGUGAGUAACACGUGGGUAACCUACCUAUAAGACUGGGAUAACUUCGGGAAACCGUAGCUAAUACCGGAUAAUAUUUUGAACCGCAUGGUUCAAAAGUGAAAGACGGUCUUGCUGUCACUUAUAGAUGGAUCCGCGCUGCAUUAGCUAGUUGGUAAGGUAACGGCUUACCAAGGCAACGAUGCAUAGCCGACCUGAGAGGGUGAUCGGCCACACUGGAACUGAGACACGGUCCAGACUCCUACGGGAGGCAGCAGUAGGGAAUCUUCCGCAAUGGGCGAAAGCCUGACGGAGCAACGCCGCGUGAGUGAUGAAGGUCUUCGGAUCGUAAAACUCUGUUAUUAGGGAAGAACAUAUGUGUAAGUAACUGUGCACAUCUUGACGGUACCUAAUCAGAAAGCCACGGCUAACUACGUGCCAGCAGCCGCGGUAAUACGUAGGUGGCAAGCGUUAUCCGGAAUUAUUGGGCGUAAAGCGCGCGUAGGCGGUUUUUUAAGUCUGAUGUGAAAGCCCACGGCUCAACCGUGGAGGGUCAUUGGAAACUGGAAAACUUGAGUGCAGAAGAGGAAAGUGGAAUUCCAUGUGUAGCGGUGAAAUGCGCAGAGAUAUGGAGGAACACCAGUGGCGAAGGCGACUUUCUGGUCUGUAACUGACGCUGAUGUGCGAAAGCGUGGGGAUCAAACAGGAUUAGAUACCCUGGUAGUCCACGCCGUAAACGAUGAGUGCUAAGUGUUAGGGGGUUUCCGCCCCUUAGUGCUGCAGCUAACGCAUUAAGCACUCCGCCUGGGGAGUACGACCGCAAGGUUGAAACUCAAAGGAAUUGACGGGGACCCGCACAAGCGGUGGAGCAUGUGGUUUAAUUCGAAGCAACGCGAAGAACCUUACCAAAUCUUGACAUCCUUUGACAACUCUAGAGAUAGAGCCUUCCCCUUCGGGGGACAAAGUGACAGGUGGUGCAUGGUUGCCGUCAGCUCGUGUCGUGAGAUGUUGGGUUAAGUCCCGCAACGAGCGCAACCCUUAAGCUUAGUUGCCAUCAUUAAGUUGGGCACUCUAAGUUGACUGCCGGUGACAAACCGGAGGAAGGUGGGGAUGACGUCAAAUCAUCAUGCCCCUUAUGAUUUGGGCUACACACGUGCUACAAUGGACAAUACAAAGGGCAGCGAAACCGCGAGGUCAAGCAAAUCCCAUAAAGUUGUUCUCAGUUCGGAUUGUAGUCUGCAGCUCGACUACAUGAAGCUGGAAUCGCUAGUAAUCGUAGAUCAGCAUGCUACGGUGAAUACGUUCCCGGGUCU
This 1372-nucleotide ribosomal RNA is filed under the name uncultured bacterium. RNAcentral describes it as "bacterial SSU rRNA". It matches the Rfam family "Bacterial small subunit ribosomal RNA", at positions 28 to 1381 of the family's 1533-position model. The record is from RNAcentral.